This 425-nucleotide ribosomal RNA is filed under the name uncultured bacterium. RNAcentral's name for it is "partial 16S ribosomal RNA". It matches the Rfam family "Bacterial small subunit ribosomal RNA", at positions 354 to 796 of the family's 1533-position model. The record is from RNAcentral.
GUGGGGAAUAUUGGACAAUGGGGGAAACCCUGAUCCAGCAAUGCCGCGUGAGUGAAGAAGGCCUUCGGGUUGUAAAACUCUUUUAUCAGGGAAGAUAAUGACGGUACCUGAUGAAUAAGCUCCGGCUAACUUCGUGCCAGCAGCCGCGGUAAUACGAAGGGAGCUAGCGUUGUUCGGAAUAACUGGGCGUAAAGGGCGCGUAGGCGGUUUGGUAAGUUUGAUGUGAAAGCCCUGGGCUUAACCCGGGAACUGCAUUGGAUACUGCCAGACUAGAGUGUUGUAGGGGAUGAUGGAAUUAUGCAUGGAGAGGUGGAAUUCAUAGAUAUGCAUAGGAACACCAGUAGCGAAGGCGAUCAUCUGAACAACAACUGACGUUGAGGCGCGAAAGCGUGGGGAGCAAACAGGAUUAGAUACCCGAGUAGUCC